RNAcentral lists this ribosomal RNA (373 nucleotides) under uncultured bacterium. RNAcentral's name for it is "bacterial SSU rRNA". It matches the Rfam family "Bacterial small subunit ribosomal RNA", at positions 525 to 896 of the family's 1533-position model. The record is from RNAcentral.
ACGGAGGGGGCGAGCGUUAUUCGGAAUUACUGGGCGUAAAGCGCGCGCAGGUGGCGCGGUAAGUGGCUGGUGAAAGCCCUCGGCUCAACCGAGGAACUGCCUGCCAAACUGCUGCGCUUGAGGCCGGGAGGGGAGAGCGGAAUUCCUGGUGUAGCGGUGAAAUGCGUAGAUACCAGGAGGAACACCGGUGGCGAAGGCGGCUCUCUGGACCGGUUCUGACACUCAUGCGCGAAAGCGUGGGGAGCAAACAGGAUUAGAUACCCUGGUAGUCCACGCCCUAAACGAUGGGCACUAGGCGUCGCGGGUGUCGACCCCUGCGGUGCCGUAGCUAACGCGUUAAGUGCCCCGCCUGGGGAGUACGGUCGCAAGGCUG